AGUGGCAGACGGGUGAGUAAUGCGUAGGAAUCUACCUAGUAGUAUGGAAUAGCCAUUAGAAAUGAUGGGUAAUACUGUAUAAUCCCUGCGGGGGAAAGAUUUAUCGCUAUUAGAUGAGCCUACGUUAGAUUAGCUAGUUGGUAAGGUAAUGGCUUACCAAGGCUAUGAUCUAUAGCUGGUCUGAGAGGACGAUCAGCCACACUGGAACUGAGAUACGGUCCAGACUCCUACGGGAGGCAGCAGUGGGGAAUAUUGGACAAUGGGCGAAAGCCUGAUCCAGCUAUGCCGCGUGAGUGAAGAAGGCCUUCGGGUUGUAAAGCUCUUUCAAUAGGGA
Molecule: ribosomal RNA, 334 nt
Filed under: Ehrlichia ewingii
Lineage: Bacteria; Pseudomonadati; Pseudomonadota; Alphaproteobacteria; Rickettsiales; Anaplasmataceae
Description: bacterial SSU rRNA
Rfam family: Bacterial small subunit ribosomal RNA
Source: RNAcentral